This 468-nucleotide ribosomal RNA is filed under the name uncultured bacterium. Its description in RNAcentral is "partial 16S ribosomal RNA". It matches the Rfam family "Bacterial small subunit ribosomal RNA", at positions 28 to 507 of the family's 1533-position model. The record is from RNAcentral.
GACGAACGCUGGCGGCGUGCCUAACACAUGCAAGUCGAACGGAAAGGCCCUGCUUUUGUGGUGUUCUCGAGUGGCGAACGGGUGAGUAACACAUGAGUAACCUGCCCUUGACUUUGGGAUAACUUCAGGAAACUGGGGCUAUUACCCGAUAGGACCUCCUGCUGCAUGGUGGGGGCUGGAAAGUUUCGGCGGUUGGGGCUGGCUUCGGGGGUUAUCCGCUUGUUGGGGGGGUAGUGGCUUACCAAGGCUUUGACGGAUAUGCGACAUGGGAGGGUGGCCGCGGACCAGGGGCCUACGGGAGGGAGCAGUGGGCUAUGGUAGGCAACGGGCGAGAGUAUUACACAGUAGGCGGACGCGUGUGGCGACAACGCCGGGUGCGGGAAGACGGGUUUCCGGUUGUGAACCGCUUUGGCCUGUGACGAACCGUGAGUGACGGUACUGGAUAAAGAAGCACCGGCUAACUACGUG